UAGAUGUUCCUAACACAUGUUUCAUAGGUC
Molecule: non-coding RNA, 30 nt
Filed under: Mus musculus (house mouse)
Lineage: Eukaryota; Metazoa; Chordata; Mammalia; Rodentia; Muridae
Source: RNAcentral